UGGGGAAUAUUGCACAAUGGGCGCAAGCCUGAUGCAGCCAUGCCGCGUGUAUGAAGAAGGCCUUCGGGCUGUAAAGUACUUUCAGUCGGGAGGAAGGUGGUAAGGUUAAUAACCUUAUCAAUUGACGUUACCGACAGAAGAAGCACCGGCUAACUCCGUGCCAGCAGCCGCGGUAAUACGGAGGGUGCAAGCGUUAAUCGGAAUUACUGGGCGUAAAGCGCACGCAGGCGGUUGAUUGAGUCAGAUGUGAAAUCCCCGGGCUUAACCCGGGAAUUGCAUCUGAUACUGGUCAGCUAGAGUCUUGUAGAGGGGGGUAGAAUUCCAUGUGUAGCGGUGAAAUGCGUAGAGAUGUGGAGGAAUACCGGUGGCGAAGGCGGCCCCCUGGACAAAGACUGACGCUCAGGUGCGAAAGCGUGGGGAGCAAACAGG
This 429-nucleotide ribosomal RNA is filed under the name Chloroflexota bacterium. RNAcentral describes it as "Chloroflexi bacterium partial 16S ribosomal RNA". It matches the Rfam family "Bacterial small subunit ribosomal RNA", at positions 355 to 776 of the family's 1533-position model. The record is from RNAcentral. Lineage: Bacteria; Bacillati; Chloroflexota.